Molecule: ribosomal RNA, 378 nt
Filed under: uncultured eukaryote
Lineage: Eukaryota
Description: SSU rRNA
Rfam family: Eukaryotic small subunit ribosomal RNA
Source: RNAcentral
AGCUCUAAUAGCGUAUAUUAAUGUUGUUGCAGUUAAAAAGCUCGUAGUUGGAUUUUGGUGUUUGACAAACGGUCGGCCUUACGGUUGGUACUGUUUGUUGGCACUUAUUUUCUGGGGAACUCACUGAUCUUAAUUGAUGGGUGUUGUAACGCAGAUCGUUUACUUUGAAAAAAUUAGAGUGUUCAAAGCAGGCCAUCGCAUUGAAUACAUUAGCAUGGAAUAAUGGAAUAGGACUUUGGUCUUAUUUUGUUGGUUUCUAAGGCCGAGGUAAUGAUUAAUAGGGAUAGUUGGGGGCGUUUAUAUUCCGUUGUCAGAGGUGAAAUUCUUGGAUUUACGGAAGAUAAACUACUGCGAAAGCAUUCGCCAAGGAUGUUUUCA